AACGCGAAGAACCUUACCUAGACUUGACACCUCCUGCAUUACUCUUAAUCGAGGAAGUCCCUUCGGGGACAGGAUGACAGGUGGUGCAUGGUUGUCGUCAGCUCGUGCCGUGAGGUGUCGGCUUAAGUGCCACAACGAGCGCAACCCUCGUGAUUAGUUGCUACCAAGUAGAACUCUAAUCAGACUGCCGUAGUUAAUACGGAGGAAGGUGAGGAUGACGUCAAAUCAUCACGUCCCUUACGUCUUGGGCUACACACGUACUACAAUGGGUGUUACAGAGAGAAGCAAAUCCGCGAGGAGGAGCAAAUCUGAAAAAAGCAUCCCUAGUUCGGAUUGUAGGCUGCAACUCGCCUACAUGAAGCUGGAAUUGCUAGUAAUCACAGGUCAGCAUACUGUGGUGAAUACGUUCCCGGGUCUUGUACACACGC
This 428-nucleotide ribosomal RNA is filed under the name uncultured Clostridium sp. Its description in RNAcentral is "bacterial SSU rRNA". It matches the Rfam family "Bacterial small subunit ribosomal RNA", at positions 958 to 1393 of the family's 1533-position model. The record is from RNAcentral. Lineage: Bacteria; Bacillati; Bacillota; Clostridia; Eubacteriales; Clostridiaceae.